UGAAUACCCCCGCAUUCCCACACUGCAGCUACAGACACACACACACAUACAAGCAGCUGAUGGCUGUGCGGCGCUUGGCGCUUAGCGCUCAGUGGUGGCUGGUUAUUGGAGCAAACCGGACGUUCGCUUGGCCGUUCAGUCGUUCUCGCCGGCUCACCCGUUGCAAUGUUGAAUAUUUAGCCUUGUUCGAGAGUUUGCGCAGCAUGCAACAUGUCUGCCAUGUGGCUAAUUUAUGUCAUUCAAAAUGUUGGCUGCAUGCAGAGGACCAACCGACUGCCCGCCACUGAUGUGUGGCAUUUGUGCGAAUGGCGGGAAUUUUUGGUUUCUUGUUUGUUUUUGGUGGUUUUUGAAAAACGAAGAUUUUUAUUUACAUACAGACAUCAGUGUGGAGGAGGGUGUAAGGAGUUAAGAUCAAAACGAAAGCGAACUAAAAAAGGCCACUGACGCCGAUGCUGCAAUGCCCGCCGAUUGAGAACCCCGCUGCGACCUUCCUGGAAGAAUACAGUGUACA
Anastrepha ludens (Mexican fruit fly) is the source of this 511-nucleotide long non-coding RNA. RefSeq lists it as uncharacterized. The record is from RefSeq and is a predicted model, not a curated record. The transcript has 3 exons. Lineage: Eukaryota; Metazoa; Arthropoda; Insecta; Diptera; Tephritidae.